Molecule: transfer RNA, 72 nt
Filed under: Melitaea cinxia (Glanville fritillary)
Lineage: Eukaryota; Metazoa; Arthropoda; Insecta; Lepidoptera; Nymphalidae
Description: misc RNA ENSMCXG00005023454.1
Rfam family: tRNA
About the family: Transfer RNA (tRNA) molecules are approximately 80 nucleotides in length. Their secondary structure includes four short double-helical elements and three loops (D, anti-codon, and T loops).
Source: RNAcentral
UCUUCGGUAGUAUAGUGGUCAGUAUCCCCGCCUGUCACGCGGGAGACCGGGGUUCGAUUCCCCACCGGAGAG